GAAGUAACUCCGCCUGUGUCUUGAUUAAGGCAUUUAUCUUUACACAGCCGGUCCCAAGCCCGGAUAAAGGAGGAGGGUUGC
This 81-nucleotide non-coding RNA is filed under the name Theobroma cacao (cacao). The record is from RNAcentral. Lineage: Eukaryota; Viridiplantae; Streptophyta; Magnoliopsida; Malvales; Malvaceae.